RNAcentral lists this ribosomal RNA (897 nucleotides) under uncultured archaeon. RNAcentral's name for it is "bacterial SSU rRNA". It matches the Rfam family "Archaeal small subunit ribosomal RNA", at positions 21 to 924 of the family's 1478-position model. The record is from RNAcentral.
ACCUGACUGCUAUCGGAUUGGUACUAAGCCAUGUGAGUCAUUGUAGCAAUACAAGGCAUACGGCUCAGUAACACGUAGUCAAUCUGCCCUAUGGACGUGGAUAACCUCGGGAAACUGAGAAUAAUCCGCGAUAGAUCAUAAUGCCUGGAACGGUUUAUGGUCCAAAUGAUUCGUCGCCAUAGGAUGGGACUGCGGCCUAUCAGCUUGUUGGUGAGGUAAUGGCCCACCAAGGCUAUUACAGGUACGGGCUCUGAGAGGAGAAGCCCGGAGAUGGGUACUGAGACACGGACCCAGGCCCUAUGGGGCGCAGCGGGCGAGAAACCUUUGCAAUGUGCGCAAGCACGACAAGGUUAAUCCGAGUGUUUCCUGCUAAAGGAAUCUUUUGUUAGUUCUAAAACCACUGAUGAAUAAGGGGUGGGCAAGUUCUGGUGUCAGCCGCCGCGGUAAAACCAGCACCUCAAGUGGUCAGGAGGAUUAUUGGGCCUAAAGCAUCCGUAGCCGGUUCUGUAAGUUUCCGGUUAAAUCCACUAGCUCAACUAAUGGGCUGCCGGAAAUACUGCAGAACUAGGGAGUGGGAGAGGUAGACGGUACUCGGGAGGAAGGGGUAAAAUCCUUUGAUCUCUUGAUGACCACCUGUGGCGAAGGCGGUCUACCAGAACACGUUCGACGGUGAGGGAUGAAAGCUGGGGGAGCAAACCGGAUUAGAUACCCGGGUAGUCCCAGCUGUAAACGAUGCAGACUCGGUGAUGCACUGGCUUUUGGCCAGUGCAGUGCCGCAGGGAAGCCGUUAAGUUUGCCGCCUGGGAAGUACGUACGCAAGUAUGAAACUUAAAGGAAUUGGCGGGGGAGCACCACAAGGGGUGAAGCCUGCGGUUCAAUUGGAUUCAACGCCGGAAA